UACGUAGGGUGCGAGCGUUGUCCGGAAUUAUUGGGCGUAAAGAGCGCGCAGGCGGAAUGUCAAGUCAGAUGUGAAAUAUCCCGGCUUAACCGGGAGGGGUCAUUUGAAACUGGCAAACUAGAGUACAGCAGAGGAUAGCGGAAUUCCCGGUGUAGUGGUGAAAUGCGUAGAUAUCGGGAGGAACACCAGUGGCGAAGGCGGCUAUCUGGGCUGAAACUGACGCUGAGGCGCGAAGGCUAGGGGAGCAAACAGG
Molecule: ribosomal RNA, 253 nt
Filed under: uncultured bacterium
Lineage: Bacteria
Description: partial 16S ribosomal RNA
Rfam family: Bacterial small subunit ribosomal RNA
Source: RNAcentral